Molecule: long non-coding RNA, 334 nt
Organism: Balaenoptera musculus (blue whale)
Lineage: Eukaryota; Metazoa; Chordata; Mammalia; Artiodactyla; Balaenopteridae
Exons: 3
Source: RefSeq, a predicted model, not a curated record
UCUGGCUUUGUGCCACACCAGCCAUUGCCCUAGCAUGACUCUCCUCCUUCCAUUGGAUUCUGCUCUCAAGUCAGCAUCAUCUUGCCAAAGAAGCAUAAACCACAAGCUCUGGGGAAGCUGGUUUGUCUGUCUCACAAGCAGGCCUCAAAGUCUCCUGGCUACCUUUCUAAAUUUCCCUGGAUGAGGGGUGAUCACCUGGUCAAACAGAUAUCUCUCCAGUGCACGAGACCAGACUGCUGCAGAAGUCUAUUGUUGCCUUUUCUUUGACUUCUUUGAGUGUGAUCAUGGGAGGGCAUGUUGAGAUGCUCUUCUAUCAGCCUGGGCCCUGAUUAGG